Long non-coding RNA from Olea europaea var. sylvestris, 437 nucleotides. RefSeq lists it as uncharacterized. Lineage: Eukaryota; Viridiplantae; Streptophyta; Magnoliopsida; Lamiales; Oleaceae. The transcript is spliced from 3 exons. The record is from RefSeq and is a predicted model, not a curated record.
UUACUUGAACAGGUGCCAACAGAUAUUUUUACUUGUGCUUGAAUGACUUGAUUGCACUUGGAGGGGGUGCAAACUUUGCUUUAUGCCUGAAUGAAGAUCUGUUAUCUGGAUCCAGUGGUCCGUGCGAAACAUUUGGGAACUUGUGUUUGGCUCAUGAUCAAGAGUUUGAAAUAAAGAAUGUUGAGCUGUGGGGUUUUUCACAUGUUUCUCAAUACCUUAAUUGAAGCAGCAAGAAUUCGGAUUAUGUUUUGUCCAUCCUUACAGAUUAUCCAAACUUUUGACAGUCCUUUUGGUGUUUAGUGAAAAAUGUUAAAAGUAGCCUCUCCCUUUCGAGGAUGAUUUGUUCUGUACAAGUUUAUAUUUUUGCUAUGGUAGGGAACCAUUAUUCCUUUUACCGUAUUUUUUUAUUCAAGAUAUGUUCAUUUGCAUGAAAGAAA